AAUGAACGCUGGCGGCGCGCCUAAUACAUGCAAGUCGAGCGAGAAGACGUAGCAAUACGUUUGUAAAGCGGCGAACGGGUGAGGAAUACAUGGGUAACCUACCCUCGAGUGGGGAAUAACUAGCCGAAAGGUUAGCUAAUACCGCGUACGCUCCUUGGACUUCGGUUCAGGGAGGAAAGCGAUACCGUGGGUAUCGCGCUCUUGGAUGGGCUCAUGUCCCAUCAGCUUGUUGGUGAGGUAACGGCUCACCAAGGCUUCGACGGGUAGCUGGUCUGAGAGGACGAUCAGCCACACUGGCACUGCGACACGGGCCAGACUCCUACGGGAGGCAGCAGUGGGGAAUCUUGCGCAAUGGGCGAAAGCCUGACGCAGCGACGCCGCGUGAGGGAUGACGGCC
This 397-nucleotide ribosomal RNA is filed under the name uncultured bacterium. Its description in RNAcentral is "bacterial SSU rRNA". It matches the Rfam family "Bacterial small subunit ribosomal RNA", at positions 29 to 416 of the family's 1533-position model. The record is from RNAcentral.